This 491-nucleotide ribosomal RNA is filed under the name uncultured bacterium. RNAcentral describes it as "partial 16S ribosomal RNA". It matches the Rfam family "Bacterial small subunit ribosomal RNA", at positions 29 to 507 of the family's 1533-position model. The record is from RNAcentral.
GUGAACGCUGGCGGUAGGCCUAACACAUGCAAGUCGAACGGCAGCACAGUAAGAGCUUGCUCUUACGGGUGGCGAGUGGCGGACGGGUGAGGAAUACAUCGGAAUCUACUUUUUCGUGGGGGAUAACGUAGGGAAACUUACGCUAAUACCGCAUACGACCUACGGGUGAAAGCAGGGGAUCUUCGGACCUUGUGCGAUUGAAUGAGCCGAUGUCGGAUUAGCUAGUUGGCGGGGUAAAGGCCCACCAAGGCGACGAUCCGUAGCUGGUCUGAGAGGAUGAUCAGCCACACUGGAACUGAGACACGGUCCAGACUCCUACGGGAGGCAGCAGUGGGGAAUAUUGGACAAUGGGCGCAAGCCUGAUCCAGCCAUACCGCGUGGGUGAAGAAGGCCUUCGGGUUGUAAAGCCCUUUUGUUGGGAAAGAAAAGCAGCAGGUUAAUACCCCGCUGUUCUGACGGUACCCAAAGAAUAAGCACCGGCUAACUUCGUG